This is an RNA transcript of Microplitis demolitor, 1449 nucleotides long. It is a transcript of the gene named 39S ribosomal protein L38, mitochondrial, with no coding region annotated. The transcript is spliced from 8 exons. The record is from RefSeq and is a predicted model, not a curated record. NCBI's taxonomy places the organism in Eukaryota, Metazoa, Arthropoda, Insecta, Hymenoptera, Braconidae.
AAUGUAUUCGAUACUAAUAAGUCGAUUCUCGAAUCACCAUCUCUAGUCUUUCGGUAAAAAUCAAAUUGUUUUUUUUUUUUUUAAAAUGACUAGUAGACUCUUUAAUUAUUUAAAAAGUGAUUUAAUUGUUAUAAAUUACCAACAAUUACGUCAUGGACAUAAAAUGCGUGGAAAACCACCUGGUGUUGCUAAAAAUCUUCAACAACGAUUAGAAGAACUUAAUCGUAAAGAUCCAGAAGUUGACUUUAAAGUUGACAUUGGGUUUCAACCCUCAAAAAUGUCUAGGUCGGCACUUAGUGCCGGUUAUAUGGAGUACGUCAAACAAGUGAGAAAAAAUCCAGAAAUGGAAAGGAAAGCGCGUAGAAAAGAGUUGUUACUCGAUCUAGAGGAUGUUAAAAAAGAUUGGUGGUCAACAUCAGCACCUCAGCAGAUAAAAACAAUAUCUGAUCAUUACGGUGUCUAUAAUGAUUUAUUUGGAGACGCGUAUUUUUAUCCAGUAUUACCAAUGGAUAUUAAAUACGAGUACAAUAGUAGUGAAAUAAUUCCAGUAGUUCAUCGAGGAAAUUUAAUUAAGUCUUCAGAAACUCAACAACCGCCAAAAAUAAACUACGAAGCUGCACCUGAUUCUCUUUGGACUCUACUGCUCACUACUCCUGAUGCUAAUUUUACUAGCAGAGAACUUGAGUACUGUCAUUGGUUCAUUGGAAAUAUACCCGGUAACGAUAUUGAUAAAGGCGAUCUUUUGGUUGAUUACAUGAGACCUAUUCCUCCAAUGGGAAUGGGAUUGUGUAGAUAUAUUUUCGUACUUUAUAAGCAAGAUAAAAAAAUUGAUUUUACUGAAUACAAAAAAGAACAGCCUUGUUUAGAGUUGGAAAAACGUAACUGGAAAACAUUGGAUUUUUAUCGUAAAUAUCAAGACAUUAUAACUCCCGCGAGCAUUGCAUUUUUUCAAGCUGAAUGGGAUCAAAGUCUGAAAGAUUUUUACCACAAUACGCUACAAAUGAAAUCUCCAAAGUUCGAGUACGAUUUUCCAGCUCCGUACAUUCGCCCUCAAGAAUGGUUCCCCUUGAAACAGGCAUUCAAUUUAUAUUUGGACCGUUACCGUGAUCCUAAAGACAUAAACAAAGAUUUCUUACUGAAGAAAUUAAAAAAAACACAUCCUUUCAAAGGUCCAGAACGACCACUGAAAUACCCACGAGCUUAUGCCUUCGAUCAAGACAUGCCGUCGUGGUUGAAGACGGAAUUAGUGAAGGAACAAUUAAAACAGGGUAGAAUUAAUGAUAUUGAAUAAGUUAUACUACUAUUGAAAGUUUCCAUUGGUACGGACGACCGAUUCUUGAUCACUUUGAGUGUACAUUCAGACCGGCAAGGUGGUGGUGGUCCACUCCACAUCCCAUUUUCUCGGCAUGUAGGCCUUUUAACUGGUUCAAGAGGUGUUACAUAUCCAGG